GCAAGUCGAACGAAGUAGCAAUACUUAGUGGCAGACGGGUGAGUAACAUGUAGGUAUCUGCCCUUUGGCCUGGAAUAACACGAGGAAACUUGUGCUAAUACCGGAUAAGUCUUUACGGAGAAAGCUUUAUGCACCAUUGGAUGAGCCUGCACUUGAUUAGUUUGUUGGUGGGGUAAUGGCCUACCAAGACUGUGAUCAAUAGCUGAUUUGAGAGGAUGAUCAGCCACAUUGGGACUGAGACACGGCCCAAACUCCUACGGGAGGCAGCAGUGGGGAAUCUUGCACAAUGGAGGAAACUCUGAUGCAGCGAUGCCGCGUGAGUGAAGAAGGCCCUUGGGUUGUAAAGCUCUUUCGUCGGGGAAGAAAAUGACUGUACCCGAAUAAGAAGGUCCGGCUAACUUCGUGCCAGCAGCCGCGGUAAUACGAAGGGACCUAGCGUAGUUCGGAAUUACUGGGCUUAAAGAGUUCGUAGGUGGUUGAAAAAGUUAGUGGUGAAAUCCCAGAGCUUAACUCUGGAACUGCCAUUAAAACUUUUCAGCUAGAGUAUGAUAGAGGAAAGCAGAAUUUCUAGUGUAGAGGUGAAAUUCGUAGAUAUUAGAAAGAAUACCAAUUGCGAAGGCAGCUUUCUGGAUCAUUACUGACACUGAGGAACGAAAGCAUGGGUAGCGAAGAGGAUUAGAUACCCUCGUAGUCCAUGCCGUAAACGAUGUGUGUUAGACGUUGGAAAUUUAUUUUCAGUGUCGCAGCGAAAGCGAUAAACACACCGCCUGGGGAGUACGACCGCAAGGUUAAAACUCAAAUGAAUUGACGGGGACCCGCACAAGUAGUGGAGCAUGUGGUUUAAUUCGAAGAUACGCGCAGAACCUUACCAACACUUGACAUGUUCGUCGCGACUCUAAGAGAUUAGAGUUUUCGGUUCGGCCGGACGAAACACAGGUGCUGCAUGGCUGUCGUCAGCUCGUGUCGUGAGAUGUUGGGUUAAGUCCCGCAACGAGCGCAACCCUCACUUUUAGUUGCCAUCAUUAAGUUGGGCACUCUGAAAGAACUGCCAGUGAUAAGCUGGAGGAAGGUGGGGAUGACGUCAAGUCCUCAUGGCCCUUACGUGUUGGGCUACACACGUGCUACAAUGGUAUCUACAACAGGAAGCAAGACUGCGAAGUUAAGCAAAUCCCUAAAAGAUACCUCAGUUCGGAUUGCACUCUGCAACUCGAGUGCAUGAAGCUGGAAUUACUAGUAAUCGUGGAUCAGCGUGCCACGGUGAAUGCGUUCCCGGGUCUUGUACACACCGCCCGUCACACCAUGGGAGUUGGUUCUACCUUAAGGC
RNAcentral lists this ribosomal RNA (1324 nucleotides) under uncultured Pelagibacterales bacterium. RNAcentral's name for it is "bacterial SSU rRNA". It matches the Rfam family "Bacterial small subunit ribosomal RNA", at positions 57 to 1428 of the family's 1533-position model. The record is from RNAcentral. Lineage: Bacteria; Pseudomonadati; Pseudomonadota; Alphaproteobacteria; Candidatus Pelagibacterales.